GAGUAGCUCAGUUGGUAGAGCAGCGGUCUCCAAAACCGCAGGUCGUAGGUUCGAGCCCUGCCUC
Molecule: transfer RNA, 64 nt
Filed under: marine eukaryotic metagenome
Rfam family: tRNA
About the family: Transfer RNA (tRNA) molecules are approximately 80 nucleotides in length. Their secondary structure includes four short double-helical elements and three loops (D, anti-codon, and T loops). Further hydrogen bonds mediate the characteristic L-shaped molecular structure. tRNAs have two regions of fundamental functional importance: the anti-codon, which is responsible for specific mRNA codon recognition, and the 3' end, to which the tRNAs corresponding amino acid is attached (by aminoacyl-tRNA synthetases). tRNAs cope with the degeneracy of the genetic code in two manners: having more than one tRNA (with a specific anti-codon) for a particular amino acid; and 'wobble' base-pairing, i.e. permitting non-standard base-pairing at the 3rd anti-codon position.
Source: RNAcentral